Molecule: ribosomal RNA, 374 nt
Filed under: uncultured Glomeromycotina
Lineage: Eukaryota; Fungi; Glomeromycota
Description: partial large subunit ribosomal RNA
Source: RNAcentral
UUGAAAGGGAAACGAUUGAAGUCAGUCGUGCCUUCGGGUAAUCAGCCUUUCGGGUGCGAUUCUGUGGGGUUUGAGGAGCUUAACACCUUCAUGCUUUGCAUAUUCGUGCUCUUGGGUGUACUUGCCCGUGUGGUUGGUUAACAUCAAUUUUGGUGGUCAUAAAAUGACUGGAGGAAUGUAGCUUCGAUCUUGUAUUGAAGUGUUAUAGCCUUCGGUAGAUGUGAUGAUCGAGACCGAGGAUUGCAACGGAUACCCUUCAGGGCUAUUCGUCUGAUCUCUGAUACGUUGCCUUGAUGUUGAAAGCUCGCUUAUNNNNNNNGNGUAUUACGGUCAAAAGGUUAGAACGAAUUNCAUUCGUUAAGGAUGUUGACGUA